AGCUAACGUAGCAAAUAUGGCCUUGCAAAAGGCCUAAGCCCUUUCUACAGAGGUUCAAAUCCUCUCGUUAACU
Molecule: transfer RNA, 73 nt
Filed under: Scinax littoralis (Rio Verde snouted treefrog)
Lineage: Eukaryota; Metazoa; Chordata; Amphibia; Anura; Hylidae
Description: tRNA-Leu
Rfam family: tRNA
About the family: Transfer RNA (tRNA) molecules are approximately 80 nucleotides in length. Their secondary structure includes four short double-helical elements and three loops (D, anti-codon, and T loops). Further hydrogen bonds mediate the characteristic L-shaped molecular structure. tRNAs have two regions of fundamental functional importance: the anti-codon, which is responsible for specific mRNA codon recognition, and the 3' end, to which the tRNAs corresponding amino acid is attached (by aminoacyl-tRNA synthetases). tRNAs cope with the degeneracy of the genetic code in two manners: having more than one tRNA (with a specific anti-codon) for a particular amino acid; and 'wobble' base-pairing, i.e. permitting non-standard base-pairing at the 3rd anti-codon position.
Source: RNAcentral